GUGAAUCAUCAAAUUUUUGAACGCAAAUUGCACUCUCUGGUAUUCCGGAGAGUAUGCCUGUUUGAGGGUCAGUUGAAAUAAAAAGCGGUGUGGGGGCUGCCUUGCGUUUUGACGCACCGGAUGGGGGUAGACUUGCCUUCGGUUAAGUGACAUAAGAUUUUGCAUGAUUUUUGUCGAACGUAUUUAAAUGAUUGUACGUACGUUUGCGAGAUCGAAUACUAGGAGGGGUAAUUCUCAAGA
This 240-nucleotide unclassified non-coding RNA is filed under the name Glomus sp. Its description in RNAcentral is "partial contains 5.8S ribosomal RNA and internal transcribed spacer 2". The stretch from base 1 to 71 matches the Rfam family "5.8S ribosomal RNA", at positions 84 to 154 of the family's 154-position model. The record is from RNAcentral. Lineage: Eukaryota; Fungi; Glomeromycota; Glomeromycetes; Glomerales; Glomeraceae.